RNAcentral lists this unclassified non-coding RNA (378 nucleotides) under soil metagenome. RNAcentral's name for it is "partial contains 5.8S ribosomal RNA, internal transcribed spacer 2, and large subunit ribosomal RNA". The stretch from base 1 to 120 matches the Rfam family "5.8S ribosomal RNA", at positions 35 to 154 of the family's 154-position model. The record is from RNAcentral.
GAUGAAGAACGUAGUGAAAUGCGAUAAGUAAUGUGAAUUGCAGAAUUCAGUGAAUCAUCGAAUCUUUGAACGCACCUUGCGCUCCUUGGUAUUCCGAGGAGCAUGCCUGUUUGAGUGUCAUUAAAUUCUCAACCUCACCAACUUUGUUGUGUGAAGGCUUGGAUGUGGGGGUUGCAGGUCCGCACUCGUGUGGUCUGCUCCUCUAAAACGUAUUAGCGGGUUAGUCCCCUAAUCUAUUGGUGUGAUAAUUAUCUACGACGUGGAUUUGGAAGGCUAUCAUAGACCUGCUUCUAACCGUCCUCUGGACAACUUUGACAAUUUUGACCUCAAAUCAGGUAAGACUACCCGCUGAACUUAAGCAUAUCAAUAAGCGGAGGA